CUUCUGGUACUUCUCUACCCCCAUACAUACAUCUAAAAUCAUAUAGUUCUCCAAUUUAUACAAAGAUGUUGAGCUAUAACUACAAUGAUCACCAAACUUGGUAUUUUAUCAAGAUCUUGAUAGUCGCUAGAGAAAGGAGUAUGCCGGUUUGAACUCUGACAGAUCAAUAACUUUAGCACAACCCAUUAAGUAGGCUCAGUAUCCUGAUCUCUAUAUAGUUACGGGAAAAUAACAAUUGAGACAACUGGAAAAUUUUAGGAACAAAGAGUAAAGAACGGAGCAAACAAGUCAAUAAUGGGCACUUUGGGCUUAGAUUGAUUGAUCCACUUUUGUAUCGAUCGAACCUGUAUUAAACAAAAUUUGUAGAACGUUUGACGAUAGAUUGGAAACAUGAAAUCGGUCAAUUAGCUAAGGAUAUAUCGAUCUACUUACAAAUCGAUCUUCUUAAUAGAUCAUCGAUCACUAAACCGGUUUAGCUUGAGGAAAUAUGAAUUCUUUUUUUUUUAACAUUUGAACUUGCUGAUCACUUAAUUAAUGAUAUCCAGAUUGUUUAAUGCAUCGAAUCAACAUAUGUUUAGAAUGUAUGUUAUGUUGUUGGAUUCAACUAGAGUUAAACUUCAACUAUCUAAACAUAAUAGUUUGUAUUUCAGGAGAGCUAAUUUAAAGGUGUCCCCGCUAUCACUCGCAAACGCAGCUUUUGCGGUUUGCAGCGGUUGUUGGCAUUUCGAAACAAUCACAGAAAACGCUACAAAUCGUUUCAAAUUGUUUCAAACCUUUUAAAAACAAAAACUGGUUUUAGCUAGCGUUUGCGGUUGUGGACGGUUGCAGAAGGAUAAUUUUUUUUCUUUAAAACAAAAUAAAUAAAAGUAAUACUAAAAAUAUUCAAUAAAAAAUUUAAAGUAAAAUAAUAGAAAUUGUAAAAUAUAUACAUAUAUAUUUUUAUAAUAUAAAAAUUUAAAAUUUAAAUAUUUUCUAUAAACUUUUAAAAUUUAAUAAUAUGAUUUUAUAAAUAUAAAUUUUAUAUUUAUUAUAUUAUUAUAAUUUCUAAUACUUUUAUAAUUAUAUAAAAUGUAAAUUUUGUUAAUUUAUUAUUUAACAGAUGUUGUGAUUGAUAGUUUACCAGUUAUAAGAGUUCCGUAAACACAACAAUUUCUAACCGCUUACAAACUUUAGAAAAUGUGUGAAACCCUAACAACCCAUAUCCGUAAACUCCUGCAACCGCAACAGCAGCGGUUAAACCAGUCAGUUAAAGAAAUUUGAGUUCGAAAAUGGCUCUAAUCGCGUUUUUUUUUGUCUUGCAAUCAUUUCAAGAACUUUGUAUUUUGAUUAUUAUUUGCUGUCUAACGCUUUUUAUCACAAGUUCAAAUUUCGUUUACAUAUUCUUUUUUACGUUCUCUAUAAUUAAAAACCAUUGGUUUUCUCUAUUUCUUCCUCGUAUAUUUAUCGUGCUUGUGGUCUAUAUAAAUAGAGUCAAAAUCUGAUCACACACAAUCACAAUCACACUUCUCAUUCGCCAUGCAGUGAUGAGUGCUCUACUUUUUUUUUGAACAACUGAGUGAUGAGUGCUCUACUAUGUUUCUAUGUUAAUAAUAUUUCAAUCAUCAUAUCAUAGAACCGCAGAUGUAAACGCAAAUAAACAUUUGUGGCAUCUAAGUAAAUAUUAUUUGUUCAAACUUGUCCAAAUCAACCUAAAAUUUCAUGUCUGGUUAUGAUAAAACAUUCAAUCACAACAUCAUAGAAAUAUCAUCUUACAAAACGACAGCAUGUUUAAUGUGAUUUCACCGGGGUAAAAUCAAAAGUAGGCUAUCUAAUAGAUGACGUUACACAGUGCAAACCCGCAUGAGACAUGUCUAUACGAAACCCAUCAGUUUUCAAAAGGUCUCCUGCUAUGUUCCUAUAUUGAUGGCUAAACAACAGUGAUAUUUUAAAGCUCAAGUUCACUGGACAAUAAGCAACACUUGAUCUAUAAGGUUAAGAGAACCAAAGGCAUGAGGUAAACACCCAGACGUGAGAUGCUACAUUAGAGGUAACAAACUAUGUUAAGCAAUAAGUAUCAAUUAGAAGAAGCACUAUGAGCAUUAACCUUCCGUUAAGUUCACUACCUAAAGUGGAAAACAGAUAACUCAGAAAGAGGUUAACAGUUUUGCUGUGCAAUCAAAUACUAACUCUUCAGCAAAUAGCUCCUGAAGGCCACACAUCUAGUUGAAGAGCAUGAUAACUAAAAGUGAUUACUAAAAUAGGAAAAUUAAAUAUUCAGUUUACAGAAAGCAUCUACGCAUAAGGAUGCUCAAUAUAACUAGCUUAGCCACAGCGUUCUGUUGUAGACCUAAAAGAGAAAAACUCAACACAUAAAAAGAAAAGUAUCAUCCAACACAGUUACUGCAUUUUGAAUGUGAGUUCACUGGAUAGGAUAAAAAAGUAAGCUAACUGAGGGAUGAAAAGACGCAUUACGAUCCGAGAGGUACCAUAGCACUAAGAAAAUCAUAAGAUUUAAGACAAAAUAGUAUGUUUCCCUCAUAUCCAGUGUUGGAUUUUUAUUACAUCAACAUUACGUUAUUGAGAACCAUAGAGGUUGCAGUGAGGCAGCAGGACGUGCUUAGGCAGAGACUCAGAGAUAGAACUACAUUAAGCAAUAAUUAUCACUGGUAUGAACGAGCAUUCAUUUUCAUGUAAACUCCACUACCUAAAGAAGGAAAUAACUUUUCUUUUGAAAUCAGAUAUAAGCCCUGACAAAGCUUUGUGAAAGGCACACAUUUAGUAGCAAACUAAAAGCGGAUAACUAUUAUAGGAAAUCGAUCACUUAAAUCUACGUAAUGGAGCAACCACUGGUACGCAUACUGUAAGUUCAGAAGACCAGAUGCAUAUAGGAGGAACUGAGUCACUCAUUUAAGGAAAACAGAGUUGUUUGAAUCCUUCACUAUAGCUAAAACAGAGUUGUCUGUUUCAACUUUUUAUUUGGAUCUCUACAGGGAGAGGGAGUCCUCAGCUAAAGACUCUUCUAAUCUAAAGCAAUCUCUCUCUUAGGCAAAAUCUCUACUAAUAUAUAAGAUAUAUAAGGCACAACAUCUGCAGUCUCGUAUCAACCUGAUUCCAACAAAAAUCAUAACAUAGUAAAAACAAUAUACCAUAUCUUGGUAAUGUGGCUAGUUAGUACUACCGUAAUCACCUGAAUUCAACCAAUACAAGAUCCUCCAAAUGAAAGUAAAAUCUAACCCAACUCGGUCUUCUUACCCUUGAAAAUUCAUAAUGUAUCUCCAGCUAGUUAGCAGGGCCAAAGACAAUUCUACAAAUUUCAUUAAUUUCAUCAAUCUUGUAAGUUGGAACCUUAUUUGCAAGCGAAGUAGUUGCAGAUAAACUCAAACAUGCACAUCAUCAUAUGACUCAAGACUAUGUUCGUUUCACAACAAACCAAGUUUAACCCUUUCUCCUGUACAGUAGAUCAACAAAAACUAUACCACUGGUUAUGUUGUGAAACGAACAUAGUCUUAACACGAGAAAUCAAAACCAGUGGUAUAAUCCCAACACAGAUGGUUCACAAUGUCUACUUUUACCACAACGACUCAAAAGAAUCAACAAGUCAAGAAACCAAAACUCCCUAAAGACUGAAAUCAGUCACUUGUAAAAAAGUUGCAUACUUUUGCACAAAGUUAAAAUCGCAUACUUUUGCACAAAG
Long non-coding RNA from Raphanus sativus (radish), 3673 nucleotides. RefSeq lists it as uncharacterized. The transcript is spliced from 3 exons. Lineage: Eukaryota; Viridiplantae; Streptophyta; Magnoliopsida; Brassicales; Brassicaceae. The record is from RefSeq and is a predicted model, not a curated record.